GAUGAACGCUGACAGAAUGCUUAACACAUGCAAGUCUACUUGAACUUCGGUUUGGGUGGCGGACGGGUGAGUCACGCGUAAAGAACUUGCCUCACAGUUAGGGACAACAUUUGGAAACGAAUGCUAAUACCUGAUAUUAUGAUUUUAGGGCAUCCUAGGAUUAUGAAAGCUAUAUGUGCUGUGAGAGAGCUUUGCGUCCCAUUAGCUAGUUGGAGAGGUAACGGCUCACCAAGGCGAUGAUGGGUAGCCGGCCUGAGAGGGUGAACGGCCACAAGGGGACUGAGACACGGCCCUUACUCCUACGGGAGGCAGCAGUGGGGAAUAUUGGACAAUGGACCAAAAGUCUGAUCCAGCAAUUCUGUGUGCACGAUGACGUUUUUCGGAAUGUAAAGGGCUUUCAGUUGGGAAGAAAAAAAUGACGGUACCAACAGAAGAAGUGACGGCUAAAUACGUG
RNAcentral lists this ribosomal RNA (454 nucleotides) under uncultured bacterium. Its description in RNAcentral is "partial 16S ribosomal RNA". It matches the Rfam family "Bacterial small subunit ribosomal RNA", at positions 28 to 507 of the family's 1533-position model. The record is from RNAcentral.